This 282-nucleotide ribosomal RNA is filed under the name uncultured prokaryote. RNAcentral describes it as "partial 16S ribosomal RNA". It matches the Rfam family "Bacterial small subunit ribosomal RNA", at positions 524 to 817 of the family's 1533-position model. The record is from RNAcentral.
UACGUAGGGGCUAGCGUUAUCCGGAAUUACUGGGCGUAAAGGGUGCGUAGGUGGUUUCUUAAGUCAGAGGUGAAAGGCUACGGCUCAACCGUAGUAAGCCUUUGAAACCGGGAAACUUGAGUGCAGGAGAGGAGAGUGGAAUUCCUAGUGUAGCGGUGAAAUGCGUAGAUAUUAGGAGGAACACCAGUUGCGAAGGCGGCUCUCUGGACUGUAACUGACACUGAGGAACGAAAGCGUGGGGAGCAAACAGGAUUAGAUACCCUGGUAGUCCCUGAGCGGGCU